This 705-nucleotide long non-coding RNA is filed under the name Brassica napus (rape). RNAcentral describes it as "long non-coding RNA (BNAP_LNC022604)". The record is from RNAcentral. Lineage: Eukaryota; Viridiplantae; Streptophyta; Magnoliopsida; Brassicales; Brassicaceae.
UCUCUUCUCACUUUGUUCUUUCUCUAAUAUCUUCCACUGAGAAGAAGAUAUGAGAUGAAAAAAAAAAUUGUUUUUUUUGUUUCUGAUCUUUAGAUCAAAUUAGCUUUCGGCUUGUCCGAUAAAUCUUCCGGUUAGCGGAUUUUGAUUCGGCAUAGUCCGUUUUGCUGUGCUUUUAGCUCUUCACCUUCUGUUCUUAAUCAUUCUCAUUCCAUUUGAUCUAGAGGGUUGAUUUUUUUUAUUGGUUGGAAAAGCUCGGCUCUUAAUUCUGAGUAGGAAUCAAUCUUCAAGUUAAGAGAUGGUUAAGAUUUGAGAGUUAGAAAAAGCUUUCGAGAUGCGGUACAGAAAUUAGAAGAGUUGGAGCUACCAUAUGGUUAGCGUUAACUCUUAUGAUCGGAGAAGAAAACCUUGUUGAUCAGUGGCGACUGAAAGAAAGAGGAGCAGCCAGCAGUUUCAAGCGAAUCGGUCGCGGAGAUCAAUGGUCCGGCAAGCUCUCCGGCUACGCUUUCUCACCUCGAUUUUCAAAGUAUCAAAGACAACGGGUGUGCACGUGUCAUAAUUAUGGGCUUGAGUCUGCUUGUAAUAUUAGCCUUUGGAAUUUUAUACAAAAGAAUUGACAACAAAACUGUAAACUAAAAUAUAACCAUAUAUAUAAAAAUAUUACAUCAAACUUUAUAAUAUGAUUCAAAUAAGAAUUCGAGAUUAAUA